RNAcentral lists this ribosomal RNA (245 nucleotides) under uncultured Corynebacterium sp. RNAcentral describes it as "partial 16S ribosomal RNA". It matches the Rfam family "Bacterial small subunit ribosomal RNA", at positions 796 to 1041 of the family's 1533-position model. Lineage: Bacteria; Bacillati; Actinomycetota; Actinomycetes; Mycobacteriales; Corynebacteriaceae. The record is from RNAcentral.
CAUGCCGUAAACGGUGGGCGCUAGGUGUAGGGGUCUUCCACGACUUCUGUGCCGUAGCUAACGCAUUAAGCGCCCCGCCUGGGGAGUACGGCCGCAAGGCUAAAACUCAAAGGAAUUGACGGGGGCCCGCACAAGCGGCGGAGCAUGUGGAUUAAUUCGAUGCAACGCGAAGAACCUUACCUGGGCUUGACAUGUACGGGACCGCCGCAGAGAUGUGGCUUCCCUUGUGGCUCGUAUACAGGUGG